RNAcentral lists this transfer RNA (71 nucleotides) under Bos taurus (domestic cattle). It matches the Rfam family "tRNA". Rfam says of the family: Transfer RNA (tRNA) molecules are approximately 80 nucleotides in length. Lineage: Eukaryota; Metazoa; Chordata; Mammalia; Artiodactyla; Bovidae. RNAcentral also lists the same sequence under 3 other names. The record is from Rfam by way of RNAcentral.
UCCCUGUUGGCUAGAUGGUAAAGCAUCUGCUUGCAAUGCAGGAGACCUGGGUUUGCUCUCUGGGUUGGGAA